RNAcentral lists this ribosomal RNA (253 nucleotides) under uncultured bacterium. RNAcentral describes it as "partial 16S ribosomal RNA". It matches the Rfam family "Bacterial small subunit ribosomal RNA", at positions 524 to 776 of the family's 1533-position model. The record is from RNAcentral.
UACGGGGGGGGCAAGCGUUGUUCGGAAUUACUGGGCGUAAAGGGCUCGUAGGCGGCCAACUAAGUCAGACGUGAAAUCCCUCGGCUUAACCGGGGAACUGCGUCUGAUACUGGAUGGCUUGAGUUUGGGAGAGGGAUGCGGAAUUCCAGGUGUAGCGGUGAAAUGCGUAGAUAUCUGGAGGAACACCGGUGGCGAAGGCGGCGACCUGGUCCGAUACUGACGCUGAGGCGCGAAAGCGUGGGGAGCAAACAGG